This 487-nucleotide ribosomal RNA is filed under the name uncultured Polaribacter sp. RNAcentral's name for it is "bacterial SSU rRNA". It matches the Rfam family "Bacterial small subunit ribosomal RNA", at positions 39 to 524 of the family's 1533-position model. Lineage: Bacteria; Pseudomonadati; Bacteroidota; Flavobacteriia; Flavobacteriales; Flavobacteriaceae. The record is from RNAcentral.
GAAUCGGCAGCUUACCAUGCAGUCGAGGGGUAACAUUGUGCUUGCACAGAUGACGACCGGCGCACGGGUGCGUAACGCGUAUAGAACCUACCUUUUACAGAGGAAUAGCCUUUAGAAAUGAAGAUUAAUGCCUCAUAGUAUUGAGUAAUCGCAUGAUUAUUUAAUUAAAGAUUUAUCGGUAAAAGAUGGCUAUGCGUCCUAUUAGUUAGUUGGUAAGGUAACGGCUUACCAAGACAUCGAUAGGUAGGGGUCCUGAGAGGGAGAUCCCCCACACUGGUACUGAGACACGGACCAGACUCCUACGGGAGGCAGCAGUGAGGAAUAUUGGACAAUGGAGGAGACUCUGAUCCAGCCAUGCCGCGUGUAGGAAGAAUGCCCUAUGGGUUGUAAACUACUUUUAUACAGGAAGAAACACUGGUAUGUAUACCAGCUUGACGGUACUGUAAGAAUAAGGACCGGCUAACUCCGUGCCAGCAGCCGCGGUAAC